GACGAACGCUGGCGGCGUGCUUAACACAUGCAAGUCGAACGGAAAGGCCCGGCUUUUGGGGGGUGCUCGAGGGGCGAACGGGUGAGUAACACGUGAGUAACCUGCCCUUGACUUUGGGAUAACUUCAUGAAACUGGGGCUCAUACCGGCUAGGAGCUACCGCUGCAUGGUGGGGGUUGGAAAGUUUAGGCGGUUGGGGAUGGACUCGCGGCUUAUCAGCUUGGUGGUGGGGUAGUGGAUUACCAAGGCUAUGACGGGUAGCCGGCCUGGGAGGGUGACCGGCCACGUUAGGACUGAGAUACGGCCCAGACUCGUACGGGAGGCAGCAGUGGGGAAUAGUACACAAUGGGCGGAAGCCUGAUGCAGCAACGCCGCGUGCGGGAUGACGGCCUUCGGGUUGUGAACCGCUUUCGCCUGUGACGAAGCGUGAGUGACGGUAAUGGGUAAAGAAGCACCGGCUAACUACGUG
Molecule: ribosomal RNA, 468 nt
Filed under: uncultured bacterium
Lineage: Bacteria
Description: partial 16S ribosomal RNA
Rfam family: Bacterial small subunit ribosomal RNA
Source: RNAcentral